Pseudoliparis swirei is the source of this 1207-nucleotide long non-coding RNA. RefSeq lists it as uncharacterized. NCBI's taxonomy places the organism in Eukaryota, Metazoa, Chordata, Actinopteri, Perciformes, Liparidae. The record is from RefSeq and is a predicted model, not a curated record. The transcript has 2 exons.
CGCGCAAAGCAGCAGCGGCAGAACCCCCGCGGCACGCAUGCUGGAUCCGCUUCUCCGUGGAGCCCGGUUCUGGUUCCUGGGAGGAAAAGAACCUCUCAGAAGACGAGUGCAUCCUCCUCCGUGUGAUUACGGCCUCCAGCCGGACCCCGGGGCUCAUUAUGGGAUGCAAAGUGAUUCCCAAACAGAUGUCACGCUCUUUACGGCCGUUUGAGAGGCAGAAAGUCAAUGUUGACGGAGGUCGUUAGGGGGCUGAUGGUGGAGCUGAUGACCCCAUCCCAGAAUGUCAAUGACGUUACAUUUAUAACUGAAAUGUUUUAUGGUUGUCCACAUGCAGGGAGCAGAAAAACAACAACAAUAGAGAAAUGGAAAGGAGAACUCCUGAGAUGUUAAAAAGUCUUUCGGUUUGCUUACUUUUUUUUUUUUUCUUCAUAUUAAUAAUAAAAAAGAGGCAGAUUGUGUCCACAAGGUUCGAUUCCCGUAUAGCUUACGUGUGGAAGUGCCCUUGAGCAAGACACUGCUCCUUGAUAACUGAGGAGGAGAAGACGGGAUCAAUAGAAUUAGAUUUAUUAUUUCUUUCACUUCAGAAACCAAACUUACAUCCUUAUAAUGCAUAUUACAGUAUAUUUAAAAUGCUACAUUGUAAUGUGUAUUACAGUAUAUUUAAAAUGCUACAUUGUAAUGUGUAUUACAGUAUAUUUAAAAUGCUACAUUGUAAUGUGUAUUACUGUAUAUUUAAAAUGAUACAUUGUAAUGUGUAUUACUGUAUAUUUAAAAUGAUACAUUGUAAUGUGUAUUACAGCAUAUUUAAAAUGCUACAUUGUAAUGUGUAUUACAGUAUAUUUAAAAUGCUACAUUGUAAUGUGUAUUACAGUUUAUUUAAAAUGAUACAUUGUAAUGUGUAUUACUGUAUAUUUAAAAUGAUACAUUGUAAUGUGUAUUACAGUAUAUUUAAAAUGAUACAUUGUAAUGUGUAUUACAGUAUAUUUAAAAUGAUACAUUGUAAUGUGUAUUACUGUAUAUUUAAAAUGAUAGAUUCCCUGAAACCUUGAACUAAGUUUGUUUUCAAUAUUACAAAUAGACAAACGUGGUUUUGCAGAUAUGAUCUGUGGUGAUGUGAUUAUUGAUAUUAUUAUUAUCUCCAGGAGACGUUCAGUCUCUGAAAACCAAAUCUGACAACAAGGGCCUCAAGAUAAAUGGAUGAAAACAA